UACGUAGGGUGCGAGCGUUGUCCGGAAUUAUUGGGCGUAAAGGGCUCGUGGGCGGUUUGUCACGUCGGGAGUGAAAACUCAGGGCUUAACCCUGAGCCUGCUUCCGAUACGGGCAGACUAGAGGUAUGCAGGGGAGAAUGGAAUUCCUGGUGUAGCGGUGAAAUGCGCAGAUAUCAGGAGGAACACCGGUGGCGAAGGCGGUUCUCUGGGCAUUACCUGACGCUGAGGAGCGAAAGUGUGGGGAGCGAACAGG
RNAcentral lists this ribosomal RNA (253 nucleotides) under uncultured bacterium. RNAcentral describes it as "partial 16S ribosomal RNA". It matches the Rfam family "Bacterial small subunit ribosomal RNA", at positions 524 to 776 of the family's 1533-position model. The record is from RNAcentral.